Non-coding RNA from Plutella xylostella (diamondback moth), 1542 nucleotides. The record is from RefSeq and is a predicted model, not a curated record. Lineage: Eukaryota; Metazoa; Arthropoda; Insecta; Lepidoptera; Plutellidae.
CAAGAUAGACGCACAAUCCCAAUGGAAAAUAUGCGUUCCGACAAUGAAAAGAAGGUCGAUUAUCGAACAACACCAUAAUGGACAAGCAAAAACGAAAUACCUAAGCACGACAAAAAUCUUAAAAAGUAUUGCCGAAACAUAUUACUGGCCCGGGAUGUACAAAGAUGUUCUUCAUCAUAUGAAAAAGUACAAAGAACGACUAAAAUCAUCAUCAUCAAACUCGCCGCAACCAAAUUCCACCGAACCGAAGCAAUAAGUUACCUACCGACGACGUCAUCACCCAUCGCCAGAUGUGCCUAGCCGCGGUACUCAUGCGAUGCCGAACGAACCGAUUAUUCCAAACCUACCCUCAGUCAUCAAUAAUGAAGAUCGAAGAUAAAUAGCCGUAAAAAGUUAAAACAUUUAUAUAUUUAUGACCUAGUCAUUCCGUACCGUACCGUAUAAAUCUUAUUAACUGUGUAUAAUUAGUAAUUUAAUUAAUUAUAGAUGUACAACCGAAAAACCACAAUCUGUAUUAAAAAUAUAGAAAUAGGUAAAAAUGUAAACGCAAAUGCACACAUUUAAUACCGUCCGUCCGUAGUAUAAUAUAAUAUAAGUAAAUAAUAGACACACAGAUAUGUUAAACGUAUAACAACCACCUUUUUACAUCCAAGUCACAGGUAAAAAUUUUGCUCAGACUUAGAAUAAGGAUUGUAACAUUUUUGAACGCAGCCCAAUACGUUACUCUGUGAACGUACAUAGGUUAGAAUUUUGGUUGUUAAUUCAUUGUCAAGUGUCAAACCGAGUAAAUUUCAGCAGCGCAAGGGCACAUGCGCCGGAUAAAUUUUAACUUUUAAUUUAUCUGCAUUGUAAAGAAUUCAGUAAAUUGCAUCCGUAAAUAACCGAAACUAUAUUAUAUAAGAAGUUAAAUGUAUACCGAGUACACAAUAAGUUGUACAUAACCUCACAAUGUAAAAAUUCUACCGUUGAGGGGGGAGAAUGUAACGAAGUCGUUACAACAACGGCCACACACCUACCCGCAUCUCCGAGCCAACAACAAGAACGCCGCGGGGUGGGGCACCGCACAGACCACUCCGGGUGACCAGAGGGGAAGCGGGACGGCACGGCCGCCGCACCUAUAAAGCACCGCAAGACCGCCGCUCCGACACCAUUCGUCAACUCCAGCUCCGGCGUCUGAUCAGCUCCCAUCCCGUGCUUCCUUCCCACUCACCCUUAUUGUAUUUAUGUAUCUAUAGCCUGCGUCGCGACGAUCUAGUCUCGAUAGGCGCAGCUUGGUUACCCCCUCGUUGUGACUGAGGCUUCGAGCGCGGCGCGGCUGCAAUUAUUAGCCCGAGAUCCUGUACCCUUUAUCCUUUCCUACUAUUUGCUAUAAAUCCGCGUUUGCCCCUUCAGGGCCCUGUUUAAAUAGUUAGAUACUUAAUAGAUAUCCUUAUUUGUGCAUUUGUGUGGUGAAUAUAUAGUUACAAGCUGUAAGUACUAGACAUAUAAGUUAUUAUUGUAAAUAAAGCGGAGCCAGUCCCGCCUAAUUGUUGUGUAUUGUAA